Small nucleolar RNA from Tachyglossus aculeatus (Australian echidna), 138 nucleotides. NCBI's taxonomy places the organism in Eukaryota, Metazoa, Chordata, Mammalia, Monotremata, Tachyglossidae. The record is from RefSeq and is a predicted model, not a curated record.
ACCCUCUCAGGAUCGCAUCUGGAGAAUUUCCAGUACUCUACCAAUCUCGACUGUGGGAGAGAGAGCCAAAUAGAGGCCUACCCAUUCCAUUCCUAGCUUGGGCAGUGGCUAGCGAAUGGAAGGCAUUCUGUUACAAUU